AGCAGCCGCGGUAAUUCCAGCUCCAAUAGCGUAUAUUAAAGUUGUUGCAGUUAAAAAGCUCGUAGUUGAAUUUCGGGGUUAGUAGGUUGGUCAUGCCUCUGGUAUGUACUGGUCUCACUGAUUCCUCCUUCCUGAUGAGCCGUAAUGCCAUUAAUUUGGUGUUGCGAGGAAUUUGGACCGUUACUUUGAAAAAAUUAGAGUGUUUAAAGCAGGCUCACGCUUGAAUACAUUAGCAUGGAAUAAUGAAAUAGGACGUUUGAUUCUAUUUUGUUGGUUUCUAGGAUCGACGUAACGAUUAAUAGGGAUAGUUGGGGGCAUUAGUAUUCAAUUGUCAGAGGUGAAAUUCUUGGAUUUAUUGAAGACUAACUACUGCGAAAGCAUUUGCCAAGGAUGUUUUCAUUAAUCAAGAACGAAAGUUAGGGGAUCGAAGACGAUCAGAUACCGUCGUAGUCUUAACCAUAAACUAUGCCGACUAGGGAUCGGAUGAUGUUAAUUUUUAAUGACUCAUUCGGCGCCUUAA
This 520-nucleotide ribosomal RNA is filed under the name uncultured Glomus. RNAcentral describes it as "SSU rRNA". It matches the Rfam family "Eukaryotic small subunit ribosomal RNA", at positions 569 to 1091 of the family's 1831-position model. The record is from RNAcentral. Lineage: Eukaryota; Fungi; Glomeromycota; Glomeromycetes; Glomerales; Glomeraceae.